GAUGGUAUAGCUCAGUGACAGAGCACAUGCUUAGCAUGCACGAGGUCCUGGGUUCAGUCCCCAGCACCUCCA
RNAcentral lists this transfer RNA (72 nucleotides) under Camelus bactrianus (Bactrian camel). It matches the Rfam family "tRNA". From Rfam's summary of the family: Transfer RNA (tRNA) molecules are approximately 80 nucleotides in length. Their secondary structure includes four short double-helical elements and three loops (D, anti-codon, and T loops). The record is from Rfam by way of RNAcentral. Lineage: Eukaryota; Metazoa; Chordata; Mammalia; Artiodactyla; Camelidae. RNAcentral also lists the same sequence under 1 other name.